GGCGGUGUGCCCGAGUGGCCAAUGGGAGCGGACUGUAAAUCCGUCGGCUUAGCCUACCCAGGUUCGAAUCCUGGCGCCGCCACC
Molecule: transfer RNA, 84 nt
Filed under: Streptomyces morookaense
Lineage: Bacteria; Bacillati; Actinomycetota; Actinomycetes; Kitasatosporales; Streptomycetaceae
Also listed under: 2 other names
Description: tRNA-Tyr
Rfam family: tRNA
About the family: Transfer RNA (tRNA) molecules are approximately 80 nucleotides in length. Their secondary structure includes four short double-helical elements and three loops (D, anti-codon, and T loops). Further hydrogen bonds mediate the characteristic L-shaped molecular structure. tRNAs have two regions of fundamental functional importance: the anti-codon, which is responsible for specific mRNA codon recognition, and the 3' end, to which the tRNAs corresponding amino acid is attached (by aminoacyl-tRNA synthetases). tRNAs cope with the degeneracy of the genetic code in two manners: having more than one tRNA (with a specific anti-codon) for a particular amino acid; and 'wobble' base-pairing, i.e. permitting non-standard base-pairing at the 3rd anti-codon position.
Source: RNAcentral